This 250-nucleotide ribosomal RNA is filed under the name uncultured prokaryote. RNAcentral describes it as "partial 16S ribosomal RNA". It matches the Rfam family "Bacterial small subunit ribosomal RNA", at positions 524 to 773 of the family's 1533-position model. The record is from RNAcentral.
UACGGAGGGUGCAAGCGUUGUCCGGAAUCAUUGGGCGUAAAGAGUUCGUAGGUGGUUUGUUAAGUCUGGUGUUAAAGCCCGAAGCUCAACUUCGGUUCGGCAUCGGAUACUGGCAGACUAGAAUGCGGUAGAGGUAAAGGGAAUUCCUGGUGUAGCGGUGAAAUGCGUAGAUAUCAGGAGGAACAUCGGUGGCGUAAGCGCUUUACUGGGCCGUAAUUGACACUGAGGAACGAAAGCCGGGGUAGCAAAU